This 425-nucleotide ribosomal RNA is filed under the name uncultured bacterium. RNAcentral describes it as "partial 16S ribosomal RNA". It matches the Rfam family "Bacterial small subunit ribosomal RNA", at positions 354 to 796 of the family's 1533-position model. The record is from RNAcentral.
GUGGGGAAUAUUGCACAAUGGGCGAAAGUCUGAUGCAGCGACGCCGCGUGAGCGAAGAAGUAUUUCGGUAUGUAAAGCUCUAUCAGCAGGGAAGAUAAUGACGGUACCUGACUAAGAAGCACCGGCUAAAUACGUGCCAGCAGCCGCGGUAAUACGUAUGGUGCAAGCGUUAUCCGGAUUUACUGGGUGUAAAGGGAGCGCAGGCGGUGCGGCAAGUCUGAUGUGAAAGCCCGGGGCUCAACCCCGGUACUGCAUUGGAAACUGUCGUACUAGAGUGUCGGAGGGGUAAGCGGAAUUCCUAGUGUAGCGGUGAAAUGCGUAGAUAUUAGGAGGAACACCAGUGGCGAAGGCGGCUUACUGGACGAUAACUGACGCUGAGGCUCGAAAGCGUGGGGAGCAAACAGGAUUAGAAACCCUUGUAGUCC